Molecule: unclassified non-coding RNA, 241 nt
Filed under: uncultured Ascomycota
Lineage: Eukaryota; Fungi; Ascomycota
Also listed under: 1 other name
Description: sequence contains ITS2
Rfam family: 5.8S ribosomal RNA (bases 1-52)
Source: RNAcentral
AACGCACAUUGCGCCCCUUGGUAUUCCGAGGGGCAUGCCUGUCCGAGCGUCAUUACAACCCCUCCAGCGUGCUGGGUCUUGGGCCUCGCCUCCGGGCGGGCCUUAAAAUCAGUGGCGGCCCUAUCAGGCCCUGAGCGUAGUAACUUCUCUCGCUACAGGGCCGCGGUAGGCGCUAGCCAGCAACCCCCCCUUCUUUCUAAUGGUUGACCUCGGAUCAGGUAGGGAUACCCGCUGAACUUAA